CGGGACUUUGUUUUUCACCCAGUGCCCACUUCCUGCCCCCAGGGUCCCCAAGACCCCACGUGACAUUUAGCCACCACAUCUCCUUGGACCCCCCUGGAAGGAGAGUUGCCCAGACUUCCCUUGUUCGGAGGAUGAUGGGCCGGGCGUCCCGUAGAGUGUCCCUCCGGGGGAUCUGGUCCCCAGGUGACUCUCAACUCGGAGCCUUCGCGGAGCACGCUCUCAACCGCGUUCACCCGGCCACAGACAGAAGACUGAGGCCGGGAGGUACGCGUUGCACCCCCAGAUCUCCAGCUGGGGUUGGACCCGGGGGCCCGGCUUCCUGACCCUCCAGCCUCCCGGGAUGGCCCUGGCCACCGUGGCAGCUGCUGGUGUCGGCAGGGCAGGGGAAGCCAGGCCCUCUCCCGUCUGCACCAGAGGCCUGUCGUCCCCACCGCCGGGGAGGCUGUCGAAGCUGCUCCCCAGCCCUGCUGCACCGGGACACCCCCGAAGGGCAGGCGGCCAAGGAAGGUGCCAUCUGGUUCACUCCGGCCCCUGCCCCAUGAUCCUCUCUGGGCAGCGGGCCACACUGGCCCGGAAGCUCCCAAGCAACCCGUGCCCGUACACA
Molecule: long non-coding RNA, 604 nt
Organism: Lynx canadensis (Canada lynx)
Lineage: Eukaryota; Metazoa; Chordata; Mammalia; Carnivora; Felidae
Exons: 2
Source: RefSeq, a predicted model, not a curated record